GGAAUUGCUAGUAAUGGCAGGUCAGCAUACUGCCGUGAAUACGUUCCCGGGCCUUGUACACACCGCCCGUCACACCAUGAGAGUUGGAAAUACCCGAAGCCUGUGAGCUAACUUAAAGAGGCAGCAGUCGAAGGUAGAGCCAAUGAUUGGGUGAAGUCGUAACAAGGUAUC
RNAcentral lists this ribosomal RNA (171 nucleotides) under uncultured bacterium. RNAcentral's name for it is "partial 16S ribosomal RNA". It matches the Rfam family "Bacterial small subunit ribosomal RNA", at positions 1328 to 1500 of the family's 1533-position model. The record is from RNAcentral.